AUUCCUUUAAUUAUAUGCAGUUCCUUCUAUUAAUACCACCUCUCAUGCCUAUAACUCCUCAAUUUACCGUCUACAAUAUCAAGCUGUUUGUUGUUGCUCGACGCUCUCUUUUAAAUUUGAAAUGUCUCAUGUUACCGCUCAUCUUUCUCUCUUCUCUCGGAUCUAAAAUGUCACUGCUCGCUGCUUCUGGUAUAAAGAAGAUGAAUUAUCCACUGUUUAUGCACAUUGAUGCAUAAUUACUGGCCUAUACGUAAAGAAACUUAUUCUUUAAUAAAUUACAAAAUAUGUUUAGACUAUUUUAUCUUAUUUUUAUUCGCGCAAAUGAGAGUUUUUGUGUAAACUUAUAAAGGCUGCGAGUCCAUUUGCUAUUGCAACGAGGCCCCAUCAUUAUCUACAUGAAAAUGCCUUUACAUAGUAAACGUGCCCUUAUCAUUUUCGCAUUAUGAUCAUUAUCUAAAUAUUUAGUCAAAAUUCAAAAAUCAUAGUCUAAAUGAAUCAAUGAGAUGCAAGAUUUGUUACUAAGUGCUCUAUAAGUCAUCAAAGAAGACAAUGGUGUUAUACUUUAGACUCACUGAGAUUGCAUCAAACCCCUAAAUUGCCAACAUUAAUUACAAUUAUUUCAAGUAAGAUUACUUUAUUUGUUCACUAAUCUCAUACAAUUUUCACGAUUUAGGAGUCGUUUGAUUUGCAGUUUAUGAUUGAUUAGGAUUAACAUUAUCUUGAGAAAUUAGUGUGGAUUAGUGUGGAUUUAUAUUAUUUCAUGGGUGUUUAAUAUCAUGGCUACUUAAUCUUAUAUUGUGUUUGAUAUCCAUAGGAUUAUGUUGGAUUAUAUUAUCUAAUACCAAAACUAUCCUCAUAUAAUUUUAAAAAGAGUAAAUAUAUAAAACUAUCCACUUUCAUAUUGUAAAGAUAAAAAAUGUCCACUAAGAUAAAAAUAAUAAAAACUGUCCACUUUUUGAUUGAAAAGACAGAAAUACCCCUCUCCUAAAAAUAAAAAUUUCUCUCAAUCGUCGGAUACUCUCUCUCUCCCUUCUUCUCCCUCUCUCUCUCUCUCUCUCUCUCUCUAAAUCUGCGAAUUCUAUCUCUCUCUCUCUCUUUCAUCUCUCUCUUCACUCUCUUCUCUCUCAGCUCUCUGUCGCCCCGUCGCCGCCCUCUGAUUCUCGGCAAGCAGCGGUUACAAGGCUGCCACCACCGCGAUUCUGGGUCGCUUGAGGCCGAGCAGUCUAUCGCCGGAAAAAAUGGCCUCUCUUACCAAUCUCGCCCCCCCCCUCUCUGCUCCAGCCGACAGCAGCAGUCAGCCGGACCGCCGCCAUCGCCGCCUCCCUCCUCCUCUGAUUCUUUGAACGGCAGCCACAGCCAACCGGACCGCCGCCGUCAACAGCAGCAGCAGCUCUGCUGACUCCUCUCCGAACGACAGUAGCACCACCCAUAUCUUUCUCUCUUGACCGACGGACAGCAGGAGUCACAGGCCGCCUCCACCGCCGCCGCCGGUCCUCCCCCUCCUUAUGCCGCCCUCAUAAAACCAGUCGGAGCCCUCCCCCUCCCCAGACUCACGCGCACACACACAGCCCCAAGUUUGUGUUUUUUUUCAGUUCUUUAAUACUAACAUUAUUAGAAAUGCAGAAAGCAAACAUAUUAUGCAAGAUGAUGUAUCUCUAUAUGGUGAAGAGAGCAAACCUUAAGAAGGUUUCUACUAUUUGUGUCCGUAGGAAUUGGAUUCCAAGUCUGGAAUUCUGCAGAAAUUCUACUAUGAUGGGAUUUUGAUGCUAAUUUGCAGAAGUCUGAAUUGUGAUUAUUGAUUUUGUCAUGUCUGUGUAUGGCUUCGUUUAGAGGAUGGAGAUCAUGAGUUGAUGAUUGAGCUUUUAUUUAUGGAGAUUUAUGGAGAUUGUGUGGAGAUUGUGUGAAUGAUUUUCGUUCUAAGAUCUGUUGAGAUUGUUCGGAGAUUGAAUGUUGAGAUUGUUGAUUCGAAGGAAUUGUUGUAUUUUAAUUGUAGAUUGAAUUGAUUCGAAUAAUAUUUUUGUUGUAUUUUGAUUGUUGAUUUAGAGGAAUUGAUGUAUUUUGAUGGUAGAUUGAGUUGUUGUAUUUUAGUUGUUGUACAACAAUUUGAUUGAGCUGUAUAAUUAUUUUUUUAAUGUUCUUAAAUUCACAA
Long non-coding RNA from Salvia miltiorrhiza (redroot sage), 2149 nucleotides. RefSeq lists it as uncharacterized. Lineage: Eukaryota; Viridiplantae; Streptophyta; Magnoliopsida; Lamiales; Lamiaceae. The record is from RefSeq and is a predicted model, not a curated record. The transcript is spliced from 2 exons.